Long non-coding RNA from Macrobrachium nipponense, 1283 nucleotides. RefSeq lists it as uncharacterized. The record is from RefSeq and is a predicted model, not a curated record. NCBI's taxonomy places the organism in Eukaryota, Metazoa, Arthropoda, Malacostraca, Decapoda, Palaemonidae. The transcript is spliced from 4 exons.
GUUCCAUAUAGCCUCGGCCGUUUCAGGUGGUAACCAGACACACCAGUCCGAAGUGCUGUGCAUCGAGGCAAUCCAGACGAUUCCGAGUAGUUAUGGGAGAGGUGGCCGAAGUUACCGAGGGGCGGUGUGACGUCGGGUUAGAUGAUCCAGCUGUCCUAUUAAUGAGAUGCGGCCAAGAAAGAACCAGGUGAAUGACCCAGAAGUGACACAGAUGCCAAAGGCCCUUUGGCUUACUCAGUGACAUACAGCUCGGAGAUGACGUCCCCAAGUGAAACAAUGAGAUGUUCUCUCCAGCAGCAUUCUACUUCAUUUCCGCCUCAUCCCGAUCAAGGUAUGGAAGGACAUUCGCAACAGACUUUCCAGAAGAUUCGGAGUCCCUCUGGAGUGAGUGAGCUUUGCAUGGAAUCUGGAAGCCCCUCCCAUUGUAAUUUUGGAAAAUAAGAAAAAAUGAAAAUAGAAAAAAGUGUAACGGUGACCAUGGUGUGAAAGGAUGUGAUACCAAACUUUACUUUGAGUAAAGCGUGAAGCAACAGUGGGUAUAAUGACCGUGAUGCUAUGAAGGAAGUAGACUGGAGAAAUUCGGAUAUUCGAAUAAUUCAUAAUUCCACCCUAAGGAAAACCUUCAGAUAUUGCUAAACUAUUGACAGACAUACCAAAAAAGCUUAAGUCAAUAUGUGACAACGUAUUAAAAAUUCAUGUAUCAUUAUAAUAACGGAUGUAAGACGUUCAUUGUAUGAAUGUAUCAUAUAUGAUAUGUGCGAGCGAACAUAGACAUACUCGUUAAGAGAUGAUUCCAAGACUUGAAAAUCGUACCAAAGUCGAAAUAUAUCUCAGUUGUCAAAAUAUAAAAAAACCGAUAGAUAUCACAAGAAGACUCUACAGUGAGUGAGGGAUGCUUGUUACAUAAAUAUUCUCAGAACCUAAAUGGUUUUCUACUUUACCAAGUGGUCUACGCCGUAAUUAUUUUCUUAUGAAAAGAAUCAAUGUCAGAAAAGUUAUCUUUAUUAUUUACGUAAUCCAGGUACAGUUUUACACCAGGCUCAAAAGGGUAUGUUGUUUAACAUAAUAAUAUAUAUUCCUGUAUCUACAUAGUCCCACUGGUAUCUUUAUUCCAAUGAGCUCAACUCUGCCCUAAUCAUACAAAAGUUUGUUACACAGUACCUUACAAUUCACAUUUAUUAAGUAGUGAGUAAGACAAUCACAGAGCUUUAAGUAAAUUAUCAUUUAAAAUGAGCAUUUAUCCCAAGGUCCGAUUUAUAAUACGGAAAUUGCUAUGAAUAAGG